This 482-nucleotide ribosomal RNA is filed under the name uncultured bacterium. Its description in RNAcentral is "bacterial SSU rRNA". It matches the Rfam family "Bacterial small subunit ribosomal RNA", at positions 28 to 518 of the family's 1533-position model. The record is from RNAcentral.
GACGAACGCUGGCGGCGUGCUUAACACAUGCAAGUCGAGCGGUAAGGCCCUUUCGGGGGUACACGAGCGGCGAACGGGUGAGUAACACGUGGGUGACCUGCCCUCAGCUCUGGGAUAAGCCUGGGAAACUGGGUCUAAUACUGGAUAUGACUCCACGGUGCAUGUCGUGGGGUGGAAAGCCUUGUGCGGCUGAGGAUGGGCCCGCGGCCUAUCAGCUUGUUGGUGGGGUGANGGCCUACCAAGGCGACGACGGGUAGCCGGCCUGAGAGGGCGACCGGCCACACUGGGACUGAGACACGGCCCAGACUCCUACGGGAGGCAGCAGUGGGGAAUCUUGCGCAAUGGCCGAAAGGCUGACGCAGCGACGCCGCGUGGGGAGAAGGGCUUCGGCUCGUAACCCUGUGCCCGGGGCGAACAUCCUGUUUCGACAGGACUGACGGUACCGGGUGAGGAGCACCGGCUAACUCCGUGCCAGCAGCCGC